Molecule: long non-coding RNA, 1143 nt
Filed under: Coturnix japonica (Japanese quail)
Lineage: Eukaryota; Metazoa; Chordata; Aves; Galliformes; Phasianidae
Description: lncRNA (ENSCJPG00005002867.1)
Source: RNAcentral
AUGGCCCCAUAUGGCCCUAUAUGUCUCCAUAUGACCCUAUAUGUCCCCAUAUGGCCCUAUAUGUCUCCAUAUGACCCUAUAUGGCCCCAUAUGGCCCUAUAUGUCUCCAUAUGGCCCCAUAUGGAUCUAUAUGGCCCCAUAUGGCCCUAUAUGUCUCCAUAUGGCCCCAUAUGGCCCCAUCCCCCCCAGGAGCGCUUCCAGGUGAAGAACCCCCCGCACACCUACAUCCAGAAGCUGAAGAGCUACCUGGACCCCGGAGUCACACGGAAGGUGAGGGGGGAUGGGGGUGGGGGGCUGUUAUGGGGCGCUAUGGGGUGCUAUGAGUGCUAUAGGGUGCUAUGGGGGCUGUGGGGUGGCUGUGAGGUGCUAUGGGGGGGCUAUGGGGUGGCUAUAGGGUGCUAUGGGGCUCUAUGGAGCGCUAUGGGGUGCUAUGGGGUGGCUAUAGGGUGCUGUGGGGUGCUGUGGGGCGCUAUGGGGCUGCUGUGGGGUGCUAUUGGGUGCUAUGGGGUGCUGUGGGGCUAUGGAGUGCUCUGUGGGGUGCUCUGGGGCGCUAUGGAGUCUAUGGGGCUCUAUGGGGGUCUGUGGGGCUCUAUGGGGCUCUAUGGGCUCUAUGGGGCUCUAUGGGGCACUAUGGGGUCUAUGGGGCUCUAUGGGGCGCUAUGGGGUCAUUGGGGCUCUAUGGGGUGGCUAUGGGGUCUAUGGGCUCUAUGGGGUCUAUGGGGCUCUAUGGGGUGCUAUGGGGUGGCUAUGGGCUCUAUGGGGCUCUAUGGGGUGCUAUGGGGUCUAUGGGGCUCUAUGGGGUCUAUGGGGCUCUCUGGGGCGCUAUGUGGUGCUAUGGGGUGCUCUAUGGGGCGCUAUGGGGCUCUAUGGGGUCUAUGGGGCUCUAUGGGGCGCUAUGGGCUCUAUGGGGCUCUAUGGGGCUCUAUGGGGUGGCUAUGGGUUCUAUGGGCUCUAUGGGGUCUAUGGGGCUCUAUGGGGCUCUAUGGGGUGGCUAUGGGGUCUAUGGGGCUCUAUGGGGUGGCUAUGGGCUCUAUGGGGUCUAUGGGGCUCUAUGGGGCGCUAUGGGGCUGCUGUGCCCACAGAAGUUCCGCAGGAGGGUGCAGGAAUCAACACAGGUGCUCCGGGAGCUGGAGAUUUCCUUGA